UAGCAUCUCUAUUGACUAACGUCUGACCUA
This 30-nucleotide non-coding RNA is filed under the name Rattus norvegicus (Norway rat). Lineage: Eukaryota; Metazoa; Chordata; Mammalia; Rodentia; Muridae. The record is from RNAcentral.